Molecule: RNA transcript, 1087 nt
Organism: Dipodomys ordii (Ord's kangaroo rat)
Lineage: Eukaryota; Metazoa; Chordata; Mammalia; Rodentia; Heteromyidae
Gene name: S-phase kinase-associated protein 1 pseudogene
Exons: 1
Source: RefSeq, a predicted model, not a curated record
AAAACUGACAGUUGUCUUCGUCUUUCUCUUCUCCUUGAGCAGACAGUGCCCCACUCCCAGCAGACUCCUAUCCACCAUCUUUUUGAGACCAAACACCAUGCCUUCAAUUAAGUUACAGAGUUCUGAUGGAGAAAUAUUUGAAGUUGAUGUACAAAUUGCCAAACAAUCUGUGUCCAUCAAGACCAUGUUGGAAGAUUUGGAAAUGAUAAAGGAAAUGAUGACCCAGUUCCUCUAUCAAAUGUUAAUGCAGCAAUAUUAAAAAAAGGUCAUUCAGUGGUGCACCCACCACAAGGAUGAUCCUCCUCCUCCUGAGGAUGAUGAGAACAAAGAAAAGCGUACAGAUGAUAUACCUGUUUAGGACCAAGAAUUCCAGAAAGUUGACAAAGGAACACUUUUCGAACUUAUUCUGGCUGCAAACUACUUACACAUCAAAGGUUUGCUUGAUGUCAUAUACAAGACUUUUGCCAAUAUGAUUAAGGGGAAAACCCCUGAGAAGAUUCACAAAGCUUUCAAUAUCAAAAAUGACUUUACUGAAGAGGAGGAAGCCCAGGUACGAAAAGAGAACCAGCGGUGUGAAGAGAAGUGAAAUGUGCCUGACACUGUAACACUGUAAGGUUUGUUCCAAAUACUAGUUGCACUGCUCUGUUUAUAAUUGUUUAUAUUAGACAAACAGUAGACAAAUGCAACAGUACAUCAAUUGUAUUAGCAUAAUAUUGUCCUCAUUACAAGUGUAGUUUUAAUACACACCCCAAAUGUAUGGCUGAGUUUCUUCUAGUCUGAGUGAAAGCUUCUCUUUUCUUUACUCUGAAUACAGCAAUUGUGGGUUCUCUGUGGAAGUAGCAUUUUAGGAUCUCUCUCUUUCUGUAAGAGCAAUUUCUGCAUAGUUUAUUAUCCAGUUAACUUUAGUUAAGCUUGCAGAAGUUGGCAUUUUAAACAAGUUGCAACAAGGCUUCUGAUAGAAUUAACAAAAUAUCUUUAUUUACAAAGUGAAAACUGGAAAAAGGCUACUUGAAAUUAGUGUUCUUAGUGGUGUUUUUACAGUCUAGCCAGGACCACUGGUAUGUAGGAAGCAGGACUCUUAGUUGGA